RNAcentral lists this long non-coding RNA (6215 nucleotides) under Sus scrofa (pig). RNAcentral describes it as "lncRNA (ENSSSCG00040002631.1)". Lineage: Eukaryota; Metazoa; Chordata; Mammalia; Artiodactyla; Suidae. The record is from RNAcentral.
GCCGCGCCCGCCGUCCUCGCCGCGGUCUUCUCUUCAGGCGCCUACCGCGGCUGGCAAGUCCCUGCUGGCAGAGCAGCGGAGGUCCCCGAAUCAACUUUCAAUUCCCCCUCUGCUUCUGCCUCACCAUUCUCUUCUCCGCGAAAGAUGGCUGUUUGGAGAAGGGGGCGAAGUUAGGGGGUCCUCGGCGCGGGGCGAAGGAGGGCGCGACAGCCUCGGCGGGAGCGGACGGAGGUUUCCCCUUUCCCAGCCUCUCGUGGACCAGCGUUGCCAGCUGAAGGAAGGUUGUGAAUCUGCAUCCCAGCCCAUUAGUCCUUCUCCUGAUUCCCGUGAUGAGUUCACCAGUGCAGCCUGGUCAGUUUGGUUGUUUCUUAAGCUAUUAACAGAUGUAAUAUGAAAGAUGUUGCUUUGUGUUGCUUCAAACCAAGCAAUUUAACUUAUGAAAGGACUUUUUAUUCUGAUGAGGAUGUGUGGAUACAAUGAAUUUUGAAUUUUGUGUUCUAUAGCUAAUCCUUUGUUAUGUAACCAUCUUGCUUUCCAGGCAAUUAAUUUCAUUUGAAUUAUUAUCUGAGCACUGGGCUUUAGUUCUUCUGCUAAUGUAACAUUUGGAUUGAAUUUUAUGAAGUUAUAAAUAUUUAUUAAAUAUGUUGUAGGCAUCUAAUUCAUAUCCAUAGUCUUUCUGAGUCCGUGUCUGUAUGUUUUAAAUUGUGUCAUAGGCUUUGGAUAUCAGCUUGUGGACUCAUUUUCCUCCUCCUUCUCUUUGACACACAGGAAGGAUAUUUCUCCUCCCUGCCCUUCUUUGCUGCCACUCCUGUUUCCUACAUACAUGUUUAAUUAUAAUCUCAGCACCUGCUUCCUCUGAGUCCAGUGUAAUGUGUGGCUCAUGUAGUGUUGUGAUAAGCACAGCCAACACCCAUUUCUCCAGGAACAGGGUGUCACUUUGGGAACAAACACAAUCCAAGUCUUAAAAAUGAUGGAGUAGUUUCAGAUAUCAUAUGUUAAACAUAGAGAAAUUUAAAAAGAAUUUUCUGUUUGAAUCAUUGUAGGAGUAUUUAUUUCUAUAUAUUCUUUAAAAAAAAAUCUCUCAGCACGUUGGUAUCUUUGAGUUAUCCAACUCCUGAGGUUGAAGCUAAUGUAAUAUUUUAUUCAGAGUUUAUAAAGGGAAAUCUUUUGCCAAGAUUUUCAGUCUGUGGAGUGCCACACCCAGAUCAGCUGCUCUGGAAUUCCAAUGUCUCAUCAACCUUUCCCAGAGCCCCAACAGGCUGCCAGCUUGUAUGUUGAAUUUGGAACUGAAAGGUUUUGGCGCGUACAACUGUAAUUGUUGAUUCUAAAUGAUGUAGUAAAGAUAUUCCAGAAUCUUUCUUCACAAUCAUGAUUUAUAAUUGGCGUUGUCAUCUGAAUAAGCACAUGAAGAGUUACACAGGCCUCUUAUCUCUGAGUCCUUGCAGUGCAGUGUUUCUCCAACUUCAGCAUCACUGGGAGGGCUUGUUAAAAUCAAGCCCCAUUCUCAAAGUUUUUGAUUCAGUAGAUCUUAGGUGGGUCCCAGGAAUUGUGAUACUUAUAAGUAUCCCCCCGGUGAGGCUACUGCUGCCUGAGGACUACACUUUGGAAAGCACUGAUCUAGCUUGCUAGUCCCGUUCCUUCCUCCACCUCUGCUUGCCUCCAUCCUCUCCUCCCUCCACACCCCCACCCUUACAGGCAGCCCUCUGUGCAUUACUUAUCACAAUUAUGGUGUAUUAUUACUGUCCUUUCUAUUGAGUUGGACUUAAAAUGAUGUGUGUGUUUUAUAUAUGCAUAUAUUACAUUUAAAUAUACAUUAUAUAUUGAUUUGUAUAUAACUUUAAUGUUUCAAAAUUACAUAAUUUAAAAGAGGCAUUUAAUUUAGAACUACCAUAGUCAAACAUUUUUUUUUCUUGUGGUAGAAUAUGUUAGAGUCAUUAAAAACAUAUUACAAGCAAUUGGAACAAAUUGGCUAAGUAUGAAUGUGGCAGAAAAUUUCCUCCAUUUCUAAAGUUACUGUCUAAAAUUUAUAUAGGGGAUUGUCUUUAAUUGUAAAGGACAGAAACUAGACUUUUAUAAAAUUGUCCCUGUCCCUUUAUUCUCUGCCUUCCUCCCCCAUAUCCUGUCCACAUUGUUUACCUCCCAGUUUUACUUCACAGAAGAGUGGCAGGGCAGAUUGAACCAUGGGAAAAUGGAAUUUUUGACAGUGACAGCAACUGUAUCCAAGUGAAACAUUUGAAAUGGCAUUUCUAUGUAAUCAUUAAAUGGGUAAAAAGUGCAGAUACCCUUGAUGGUUGAAGGUUGAAGGAUGCAACUAUAUGGGGAAAUUUUGAAUCCAAAUUAUAAUUAAACCCAAUUUAUCAUACUUAACUAACUUGUAAAUAGUGCAAGUACAGCAAUUUCAGUGUCUAUAUGGUCUUUUUUUAGCAUCUUUCUAGGAUGUAUGGACUUGGACCCACUUAUUUUUUUCUUUCCUUUUUAAAUUUAAGUAUAAUUAAUGUAUAAUAAUAUUUAUUUUACAGGUUACAGUAUAAUGAGUCACAAUUUUUAAAGCUUAUACUCCAUUUAUAGUUAUUAUAAAACAUUGGCUAUAUUUUCUGUGCUGUAUAAUAUAUCCUUGUAGCUUAUUUUAUACGUAUUGGUUUGUACCUCUUAACCCCUUAACCCCAUAUUGCCCCUUCCCUCUUCCCUCUCCCCACUGGUAGCCAACUAGAUUGCUCUCUAUAUCCCUGAGUCUGUUUCUUUUUUGUUACAUUCACUAGUUUGUUGGGUUUUUUUUUAGAUUCCAUGUAUCUGUCUUUCUUUGCUUUGUUUCACUUAGCAUAAUACCCUUCCAGUCCAUUCAUCUGUUGCAUAUGGUAGAAUUUCACAAUGGACCCACUUAUUUUUAAUGCGAAACAUGUAAUACCAUUAGACACUAUCGUAAGUGGUUAGACUUCCAGUUUAACCCAUUGAACCCUACUUAAAGAUAACUACUUUGCAGUGAAUGAAUACAGAAAAAUUUUGACAGCCUUUGAAAAAGAGAAUCAAUACAAUGUAAUAAGGAAUAUUUAAAAAUUUUGCAUGUUUAGAGAAAAGUGGACCAAUUUGACAGGAAAACAAACAAGUGAGAAAAUUUGAUGGAGAUAGUUCAUGUGAACUAUGGGCACCUUAGAUCAUUUCUCAGAAGGAUCAGCAUUACUUCUAAUUUCAUUCUAAAAGUAAUGAUUUUGGGGAGGCCAGUGUUAGGGUGAUUUCACUAUUCCUUUUCUCAUCUUAUGUAUGGAACAGAGGGAGGAAAUGGUGUGUGUGUGUGUGUGUGUGUAAAAUACAUGGUCAGAAGUAACAUUUACUGAACUUUGUGAGAUAAAGAAGAAAAGGAAAACAGAAGAGUGCAUGCAUCUAACGCUUAAGGGAGAAGAAGGAAACAUGAUUAAAGAGGAUUUGAGGUUAAAUAGAAAUCUUCUUGUCCAUGCAGUGUAUGUUGUUGGUUAUGUAGAAAGUGGCUGUGAAGUCAUGCUUCAAGGCGCAUGUGAAGACAGAGAUGUAUAUGUAUAGCUGUGUGUGUAUGUAUAGCUCAGCUUCUUAUGCUCAGGAUGAUAACAAUUUAUAGCAUUAUUUUAAAAUACAGAGUUCCUGUAUGUAAAUGGAAUACUUAAGAUGGUCAGAUACAUUGGACUUCUUUUCAAAAACACAAAGUGAAGUAAUACCAAAGACUUUGAUUAAUUCCACAUAUACCUGACACUGGCUCACAACUAGUAAUAUUUGACGGUUGCAAUCAGCAUACACUGACCCUGAGAAUGUUGAUUUUAUAAUUUGAAAAUGUCCUUUGAGGCUGCUAUUUUGAUGAGGAAGUUCUUGCUGGCCAUGAUACUUGUUCAGCUAGAAGAGGGAGUGAGAAAUGAGACAGCCACAAAGUGAAGCUCAUUUGACUUUUGAGUCAUUAAAAUUUCGUUAUGUACUUUCUUUCCUAUGCAUGAUUCUAGUCUGGUCUGUUGAGAACAGCAUUUUACAGAGGGUUUUUUUUUUUUUUUUUUGGUCUUUUUGUCUUUUAGGGCUGCAGUCACAGCAUAUGGAGGUUUCCAGGCUAGGGGCAAUUGGAACUGUAGCCAACAGUCUACUCCAGAGCCAUAGCAACACUGGAUCCAAGCAGCAUCUGCGACCUACACCACAUCUCAUGGCAACGCUGGAGGCCAAGGAUCGAACCCACGUCCUCAUGGAUGCUAGUCAGGUUUGCUAACUGCUGAGCCAUGACAGGAACUCCUACAGCGGUCUUAACCAAUUGUGUUUGGGAAGUUUUUAUGAAUGAAGUCUGAACUGAAGAAAGUCAUAGCAAAUAGAUCAGGUGGGUAGGAAUCCUAUAUUUAUUGUAAGUACAAUCUAUGAUUAGAGACCUGAAAUGCAUUCUGCAUAUAAAAAGGAAAACGUUCUGGCCACAGGCAUUAAAACAUUCUUCUGCUACUAUUAGUGUGUAUCUUAUGAUGCCAUGUAUUUUCUACCGGUAAGAAAUAACCUAAUUGUUUGACUUAAAAAAAGGAUUUUUCUUACAUCUCCUUUUAAAAAAAAACUACGUAAAGGGAAUUAAAUCGACCUUGUGCAAUAAUCAUCCAUUUAUUUUGCUUUUGUUCCACGAGGGGCUCUAAAGAGUUAUUAUGCACCAGAAAAAGUAGACUUAACGUCGAUUGCUCCAGAAAUUCUUUAUAGUCAAUGUUUGAAAUAGAGUGGGUUUUUUGUUUUUUUUUUGAAACUUUUCUCUGGGAUAGUGUGAAGUCUUAUUUUCCCCAUGCAUUGAUCCCAUUCUCAUGAGAAUUUUAUCUCAAUAUUCAGCUAUAGUUGAUAUCAAGUACUAAAUAUUACUGUCUUGAUCAUGUGUUCAAUCAAACAAGAAGUACUGAUCUUUGAAUAUAGAAUUCACUGGUUUUUAUUUUGAUCUUGCUGCCCCAAGAAGGAUCUAAGUUAGAGUACUAGGUAUUGCUUUUGGACCCUGAGGAGCCUGAAUGGAGAGAAGACUAUAUGAAUAAGACUGGCAGCCAGCUGCUGCAAUUGAGAGUCAUUUAUUUAUUAUUUUAUUUUUUAAAUUACUCAACGAAUUUAUUACAUUUAUGGUUGUACAAUGAUCAUCACAAUCCAAUUUUGUAGGAUUUCCAUCCCACACCCCAGAGUCAUUCAUUUAAAUCUUAUUAAGCAUACAUUCUGUGUUAGGCAGUGGGGACACAAAGAGUACUAAAAACGUUUCCACCCUUUAUCAACAGUAUCAUUUAGUGGGGGAGACAGAGUAAAGAGUUUUGGCCCAUUCACUGUGUUAAGUGUUUUAAUAAAUAGGGGAACAGAAGUUAAUUUCUUCUGUACAGCAUAUAGGUGCCAUUUAGUUAAUUUUUAUCAGGAUUGCUAGGUGGCAGAAGAAACGGCUUUUAAGGCUCAUCUAAGCUAGAGUUUUCCUAACAUAUCAGAUAAUAAAAAUUAUGUGAUGUUCUUGUUAAGAAUACAGAUUCUAAGACCUCCCCCAUUCUCUCUGCCCUCCCCCCAAAGACUUAAUGCAGUAGAUCUGGAGGGGAUAUUAAAUAACAUAUUGCAUGUUGCUCUCCACUGUGACUUUUCAAAAGUCUAGAAGUGUUCUUUAAUUUGUCUGAUAAAUACUAGUGUUCCUCAUUGAGACUCUGGAAAAAUAAAAAAGUACAUCAUUAAAUUCUAUCUCAAUAUAGGUAUUUCUCCUGUGAGCUAAGCUGUAACUCAGGUAUCUUGCUUUCUGAUAAACAAAAAGAUAGUGCUGUUGAAAACUAGAGGAGGUAAUACUUUUCAGGAAAAUUGUAGGGCUUUAUGUGUAUUCUCUGCUAAUAAACCAUCAUGAUUUUAUGUGGAUUUGAACCAAAGAGAUUCUUAAUAAAUAGAGUACAUUUUUUUUCCUUAGAACAAAUUUCUAACUAAUUUAACCCAGGUCAUAUUUGUAGUAUGGUCCCAAAAUUAUAGAAAACAUGAUUUGUGCCUGGAUGUUUUUAAGAGUAAAUGAAUUAGGCUGCAUCAACCCUAGAAUGAUUCCAGUAUGACUUUUAAUUUUGAUGAAUCUAAUUUAUGUAAUUUAAUUUUGAUGAAUAGGCAACCAAAGGAAUUUUACAAACAUAGAGCACAGUGGAUGUGAUGCCCCCUGAAAUUACAUAAGGUUCUGGCCUUGUGGACUCUUCACUGAGUUUGAAUGGUAGAGUUACGAUAGCUGUAUGGCCAAGUCCUAUAACAUUAGUUUU